AGGUCAAGUGAAGAAGGGCGCACGGUGAAUGCCUUGGCACUGGAAGCCGAUGAAGGACGCGACUAACCGCGAAAGUCUUCGGGGAGCCGUAAGUAGGCUUUGAUCCGGAGGUCUCCGAAUGGGGGAACCCAGCAUGUGCAGACAUGCUAUCCUUAAGUGAAUACAUAGCUUAAGGAGGGAACACGCAGUGAACUGAAACAUCUAAGUAGCUGCAGGAAGAGAAAGAAAUAUCGAUUUCCCAAGUAGCGGCGAGCGAACAGGAAAGAGCCCAAACCGGCAGAUUUAUCUGCCGGGGUUGUAGGACUGAGACAUGGCACUUCAGAGGAUAGCAGAAGCGUUUGGGAAAGCGCGCCAGAGAGGGUGAGAGCCCCGUAAGCGAAAUCCAAAGAAGGCCUAUCAGUAUCCUGAGUAGGGCGGGACACGUGAAAUCCCGUUUGAAUCCGCGAGGACCAUCUCGCAAGGCUAAAUACUAACCAGUGACCGAUAGUGAACCAGUACCGUGAGGGAAAGGUGAAAAGAACCCCGGGAGGGGAG
This 534-nucleotide ribosomal RNA is filed under the name Lactobacillus delbrueckii subsp. bulgaricus. Its description in RNAcentral is "partial 23S ribosomal RNA". It matches the Rfam family "Bacterial large subunit ribosomal RNA", at positions 1 to 538 of the family's 2925-position model. The record is from RNAcentral. Lineage: Bacteria; Bacillati; Bacillota; Bacilli; Lactobacillales; Lactobacillaceae.